This 402-nucleotide ribosomal RNA is filed under the name Bacteroidota bacterium. RNAcentral's name for it is "Bacteroidetes bacterium partial 16S ribosomal RNA". It matches the Rfam family "Bacterial small subunit ribosomal RNA", at positions 355 to 776 of the family's 1533-position model. Lineage: Bacteria; Pseudomonadati; Bacteroidota. The record is from RNAcentral.
UGGGGAAUUUUGCACAAUGGGGGAAACCCUGAUGCAGCGACGCCGCGUGAUUUAGAAGGCCUUCGGGUUGUAAAAAUCUUUUCUAUGGGAAGAAAAUGACAGUACCAUAGGAAUAAGGACCGGCUAAUUACGUGCCAGCAGCCGCGGUAAUACGUAAGGUCCGAGCGUUGUCCGGAAUCAUUGGGCGUAAAGGGUACGUAGGCGGGUAAGCAAGUUAGAAGUGAAAUCCUGUAGCUCAACUACAGUAAGCUUUUAAAACUGCUCAUCUUGAGAUAUGGAAGGGAAAGUGGAAUUCCUAGUGUAGCGGUGAAAUGCGCAGAUAUUAGGAGGAAUACCGGUGGCGAAGUCGACUUUCUGGCCAUAAUCUGACGCUGAGGUACGAAAGCGUGGGUAGCAAACAGG